RNAcentral lists this ribosomal RNA (482 nucleotides) under uncultured bacterium. RNAcentral describes it as "partial 16S ribosomal RNA". It matches the Rfam family "Bacterial small subunit ribosomal RNA", at positions 28 to 523 of the family's 1533-position model. The record is from RNAcentral.
GACGAACGCUGGCGGCGUGCUUAACACAUGCAAGUCGAACGAUGAAACCUAGCUUGCUAGGUCGAUUAGUGGCGAACGGGUGAGUAACACGUGACUAACCUGCCCCUUUCUCUGGGAUAACGCUCCGAAAGGAGUGCUAAUACCGGAUACUCACACCGAGGCACAAGCCUUGGUGUGGAAAGUUUUUCGGAAAGGGAUGGAGUCGCGGCCUAUCAGCUUGUUGGUGAGGUAACGGCUCACCAAGGCGACGACGGGUAGCCGGCCUGAGAGGGCGACCGGCCACACUGGGACUGAGACACGGCCCAGACUCCUACGGGAGGCAGCAGUGGGGAAUAUUGCACAAUGGGCGCAAGCCUGAUGCAGCGACGCCGCGUGAGGGAUGAAGGUCUUCGGAUUGUAAACCUCUUUCAGUAGGGACGAAGCGAAAGUGACGGUACCUAAAGAAGAAGCACCGGCUAACUACGUGCCAGCCGCCGCGGUAA